CUACGGGACGCAGCAGUGGGGAAUAUUGGACAAUGGGGGAAACCCUGAUCCAGCAAUGCCGCGUGUGUGAAGAAGGCCUGCGGGUUGUAAAGCACUUUCGGUUGGGAGGACUGCUUCUAGCACUAAUAUUGUUGGAAGUUGACGUUACCUUCAGAAGAAGCACCGGCUAACUCCGUGCCAGCAGCCGCGGUAAUACGGAGGGUGCAAGCGUUAAUCGGAAUUACUGGGCGUAAAGCGCGCGUAGGCGGCUAGAUCAGUCGGGUGUGAAAGCCCCGGGCUUAACCUGGGAACUGCAUCCGAUACUGUCUAGCUUGAGUACAGGAGAGGAGAGUGGAAUUCCACAUGUAGCGGUGAAAUGCGUAGAUAUGUGGAGGAACACCAAUGGCGAAAGCAGCUCUCUGGCCUGAUACUGACGCUGAGGUGAGAAAGCGUGGGGAGCAAACAGGAUUAGAUACCCUAGUAGUC
Molecule: ribosomal RNA, 465 nt
Filed under: uncultured bacterium
Lineage: Bacteria
Description: partial 16S ribosomal RNA
Rfam family: Bacterial small subunit ribosomal RNA
Source: RNAcentral